UGAAGAAGGGUUUCGGCUCGUAAAGCUCUGUUGUUAAAGAAGAACGUGGGUAAGAGUAACUGUUUACCCAGUGACGGUAUUUAACCAGAAAGCCACGGCUAACUACGUGCCAGCAGCCGCGGUAAUACGUAGGUGGCAAGCGUUAUCCGGAUUUAUUGGGCGUAAAGCGAGCGCAGGCGGUCUUUUAAGUCUAAUGUGAAAGCCUUCGGCUCAACCGAAGAAGUGCAUUGGAAACUGGGAGACUUGAGUGCAGAAGAGGACAGUGGAACUCCAUGUGUAGCGGUGAAAUGCGUAGAUAUAUGGAAGAACACCAGUGGCGAAGGCGGCUGUCUGGUCUGCAACUGACGCUGAGGCUCGAAAGCAUGGGUAGCGAACAGGAUUAGAUACCCUGGUAGUCCAUGCCGUAAACGAUGAUUACUAAGUGUUGGAGGGUUUCCGCCCUUCAGUGCUGCAGCUAACGCAUUAAGUAAUCCGCCUGGGGAGUACGACCGCAAGGUUGAAACUCAAAAGAAUUGACGGGGGCCCGCACAAGCGGUGGAGCAUGUGGUUUAAUUCGAAGCUACGCGAAGAACCUUACCAGGUCUUGACAUCUUCUGACAGUCUAAGAGAUUAGAGGUUCCCUUCGGGGACAGAAUGACAGGUGGUGCAUGGUUGUCGUCAGCUCGUGUCGUGAGAUGUUGGGUUAAGUCCCGCAACGAGCGCAACCCUUAUUACUAGUUGCCAGCAUUAAGUUGGGCACUCUAGUGAGACUGCCGGUGACAAACCGGAGGAAGGUGGGGACGACGUCAAAUCAUCAUGCCCCUUAUGACCUGGGCUACACACGUGCUACAAUGGAUGGUACAACGAGUCGCGAGACCGCGAGGUUAAGCUAAUCUCUUAAAACCAUUCUCAGUUCGGACUGUAGGCUGCAACUCGCCUACACGAAGUCGGAAUCGCUAGUAAUCGCGGAUCAGCAUGCCGCGGUGAAUACGUUCCCGGGCCUUGUACACACCGCCCGUCACACCAUGAGAGUUUGUAACACCCAAAGCCGGUGGGGUAACCUUUUAGGAGCUAGCCGUCUAAGGGGAAA
RNAcentral lists this ribosomal RNA (1069 nucleotides) under Pediococcus pentosaceus. RNAcentral's name for it is "bacterial SSU rRNA". It matches the Rfam family "Bacterial small subunit ribosomal RNA", at positions 406 to 1467 of the family's 1533-position model. Lineage: Bacteria; Bacillati; Bacillota; Bacilli; Lactobacillales; Lactobacillaceae. The record is from RNAcentral.